GACGAACGCUGGCGGCGUGCUUAACACAUGCAAGUCGAACGGACAGGCCCUGCUUUUGCGGCGUGCUCGAGUGGCGAACGGGGGAGUAACACGUGAGUAACCUGCCCUUGACUUUCGGAUAACUUCAGGGAACAGGGGCUAAUACCGGAGAGGAGCUCCUGCUGCAUGGUGGGGGUUGGAAAGAUUCGGCGGUUGGGGCUGGACUCGCGGCUUAUCCGCUUGUUUGGGGGGUAGUGGCUUUCCAAGGCUUUGAAGGGUAGCCGGCCUGAGAGGGGGAACGGCGACAUGGGGACUGAGAUACGGCGCAGACUCCUACGGGACGCAGCAGUGGAGAAUAUUGCACAAUGGGCGCACGCCUGAUGCAGCAGCGCCGCGUGCGGGAUGACGGCCUUCGGGUUGUAAACCGCUUUCGCCUGUGACGAAGCGUGAGUGACGGUAAUGGGUAAAGAAGCACCGGCUAACUACGUG
This 468-nucleotide ribosomal RNA is filed under the name uncultured bacterium. Its description in RNAcentral is "partial 16S ribosomal RNA". It matches the Rfam family "Bacterial small subunit ribosomal RNA", at positions 28 to 507 of the family's 1533-position model. The record is from RNAcentral.